This 77-nucleotide transfer RNA is filed under the name Pseudobdellovibrionaceae bacterium. RNAcentral describes it as "Bdellovibrionaceae bacterium (activated sludge metagenome) tRNA-Arg". It matches the Rfam family "tRNA". From Rfam's summary of the family: Transfer RNA (tRNA) molecules are approximately 80 nucleotides in length. Their secondary structure includes four short double-helical elements and three loops (D, anti-codon, and T loops). Further hydrogen bonds mediate the characteristic L-shaped molecular structure. tRNAs have two regions of fundamental functional importance: the anti-codon, which is responsible for specific mRNA codon recognition, and the 3' end, to which the tRNAs corresponding amino acid is attached (by aminoacyl-tRNA synthetases). tRNAs cope with the degeneracy of the genetic code in two manners: having more than one tRNA (with a specific anti-codon) for a particular amino acid; and 'wobble' base-pairing, i.e. permitting non-standard base-pairing at the 3rd anti-codon position. Lineage: Bacteria; Pseudomonadati; Bdellovibrionota; Bdellovibrionia; Bdellovibrionales; Pseudobdellovibrionaceae. The record is from RNAcentral.
GAUCCCGUAGCUCAGUUGGAUAGAGCACUCGCCUUCUAAGCGAGCGGUCGCACGUUCGAAUCGUGCCGGGAUCACCA